AUAGAGACUCAGAGCUGCAUAUCAAUAAGCGGAGGAAAAGAAACUAACAAGGAUUCCCUAGUAACGGCGAGUGAAGCGGGAAGAGCUCAAAUUUGAAAUCUUAAAGGUUUCCCUUGACGAAUUGUAGUUUAUAGAAGUGUUUUCUGUUAGUGGAGUUUGGUAAAAGUUCUUUGGAAUAGGACAUCAUAGAGGGUGAGAAUCCCGUAUUUGGACCGUUACUUUCAGCGUUGUGAUACACUUUCAAAGAGUCGGAUUGUUUGGGAAUGCAGUCCAAAAUGGGUGGUAAAUUUCAUCUAAAGCUGAAUAUUGGCGAGAGACCGAUAGCGAACAAGUACCGUGAGGGAAAGAUGAAAAGAACUUUGAAAGGAGAGUUAAACAGUACGUGAAAUUGUCAAAAGGGAAGCGUUUGACACCAGUGUUGUUUUCUCGAAAAUCAAUUAAAAUGAAUGGAUUUAUGUAAGUUGUAUUGACUUUAUCAGCUUACUGCACUUUAGUUCUUGAGCUUUUUUAAAUGCACUUUUCAGUUAACAAGUCAACAUCAAUUUCUUUUGUUGUAAAAGAGUCAUUGAGGAAGGUGGCUUGAUUUCUUCGAAAAGUGUUUAUAGCCUUUGCUUCUGCAGUCGGAGAGAUUGAGGUCUGCAGCGUAGAUCCUUCGGGGUUAGAUACAGUUUGUGCUAAGCUAUAGUUCUUUAUAGACAACUUGUUGACUAUAAUCAAUCCUGUAACUUACUCGCUUAUGCUAUUUUACCUACGCUUAGGAUGUUGAACGCGCACAGAGUCUC
Molecule: ribosomal RNA, 782 nt
Filed under: uncultured Neocallimastigales
Lineage: Eukaryota; Fungi; Neocallimastigomycota; Neocallimastigomycetes; Neocallimastigales
Description: partial large subunit ribosomal RNA
Rfam family: Eukaryotic large subunit ribosomal RNA (bases 8-701)
Source: RNAcentral